GCCUAUGGCCGUGCCACCCUGAAUAUGCCCAGUCUCAUCUGAUCUUGGAAGCUAAACAGGGUCAGGUCUGGUUAGUAUCUGGAUGGGAGAAUGUCUUUGAGGCUCAGGGGGAAAUAGUGU
RNAcentral lists this ribosomal RNA (120 nucleotides) under Carlito syrichta (Philippine tarsier). The record is from RNAcentral. Lineage: Eukaryota; Metazoa; Chordata; Mammalia; Primates; Tarsiidae.